AUUGAACGCUGGCGGCAGGCCUAACACAUGCAAGUCGAGCGGAUGAAGGGAGCUUGCUCCUGGAUUCAGCGGCGGACGGGUGAGUAAUGCCUAGGAAUCUGCCUGGUAGUGGGGGAUAACGUCCGGAAACGGGCGCUAAUACCGCAUACGUCCUGAGGGAGAAAGUGGGGGAUCUUCGGACCUCACGCUAUCAGAUGAGCCUAGGUCGGAUUAGCUAGUUGGUGGGGUAAAGGCCUACCAAGGCGACGAUCCGUAACUGGUCUGAGAGGAUGAUCAGUCACACUGGAACUGAGACACGGUCCAGACGCCUACGGGAGGCAGCAGUGGGGAAUAUUGGACAAUGGGCGAAAGCCUGAUCAAGCCAUGCCGCGUGUGUGAAGAAGGUCUUCGGAUUGUAAAGAACUUUAAGUGGGGAGGAAGGGCAGUAAGUUAAUACCUUGCUGUUUUGACGUUACCAACAGAAUAAGCACCGGCUAACUUCGUG
RNAcentral lists this ribosomal RNA (484 nucleotides) under uncultured bacterium. Its description in RNAcentral is "partial 16S ribosomal RNA". It matches the Rfam family "Bacterial small subunit ribosomal RNA", at positions 30 to 507 of the family's 1533-position model. The record is from RNAcentral.